Molecule: ribosomal RNA, 459 nt
Filed under: uncultured bacterium
Lineage: Bacteria
Description: partial 16S ribosomal RNA
Rfam family: Bacterial small subunit ribosomal RNA
Source: RNAcentral
CCUACGGGUGGCUGCAGUGAGGAAUAUUGGUCAAUGGACGGAAGUCUGAACCAGCCAUGCCGCGUGCAUGAAGACGGCUCUAUGAGUUGUAAACUGCUUUUGUACAAGGGUAAACCUGAAUACGUGUAUUCAGCUGAAAGUACUGUACGAACAAGCAUCGUCUAACUCCGCGCCAGCAGCCGCGGUAAUACGGAGGAUGCGAGCUUUAUCCGGAUUUAUUGGGUUAAAAGGGGGCGCAGGCGGAAGAUCAAGUCAGCGGUAAAAUUGAGAGGCGAAACCUCGUAGAGCAGUUGAUACUGGUGUUCUUGAGUGAGCGAGAAGUAUGCGGAAUGCGGUGUGUAGCGGUGAAAUGCAUAGAGAUCACGCAGAACUCCGAUUGCGAAGGCAGCAUACCGGCGCUCAACUGACGCUCAGGCACGAAAGUGUGGGUAGCGAACAGGAUUAGAUACCCCAGUAGUC